AUUGAACGCUGGCGGCAUGCUUUACACAUGCAAGUCGAACGGCAGCGCGGGCUUCGGUCUGGCGGCGAGUGGCGAACGGGUGAGUAAUACAUCGGAACGUGCCCAGUAGCGGGGGAUAGCUCGGCGAAAGCCGGAUUAAUACCGCAUACGACCUGAGGGUGAAAGCGGGGGAUCUUCGGACCUCGCGCUAUUGGAGCGGCCGAUGGCAGAUUAGCUAGUUGGUGGGGUAAAGGCCUACCAAGGCGACGAUCUGUAGCUGGUCUGAGAGGACGACCAGCCACACUGGGACUGAGACACGGCCCAGACUCCUACGGGAGGCAGCAGUGGGGAAUUUUGGACAAUGGGCGAAAGCCUGAUCCAGCAAUGCCGCGUGUGUGAUGAAGGCCUUCGGGUUGUAAAGCACUUUUGGCGGGAACGAAAAGGACUGUGCCAAUACCACGGUUCGAUGACGGUACCCGCAGAAUAAGCACCGGCUAACUACGUG
This 484-nucleotide ribosomal RNA is filed under the name uncultured bacterium. RNAcentral's name for it is "partial 16S ribosomal RNA". It matches the Rfam family "Bacterial small subunit ribosomal RNA", at positions 29 to 507 of the family's 1533-position model. The record is from RNAcentral.